Molecule: long non-coding RNA, 1263 nt
Organism: Rhagoletis pomonella (apple maggot)
Lineage: Eukaryota; Metazoa; Arthropoda; Insecta; Diptera; Tephritidae
Exons: 3
Source: RefSeq, a predicted model, not a curated record
UUUGUCGAUAAAGUCGCCGUUCUCUAUGCAACGGUCUUAAGUAUUGGACUCCGGUGAGAAGAUGCUAUGGCGUAUUGCGAGUGCUGCUUGGUGGUACACGCGUCUGUGAACAAGAAAGGAAUAGAAUUGUUGAAUAGUUAGUGUGAGAGACCACUGUGAGCCGGCCAAUUGCUACUAAAACAGCCCAUCGUAUUUUGCAAAAGAGAAAAGACGCAUUUGAAAAGGAUGUUUAAGGUAGUGCGUAAUCAACGCUCUUAAUUUUACGAUGAAUCAUUCAGCGUCUACUAACGGAAAAUUACAUAAAUGCUCCUGAAAACGCCACGACAAAGGAAUCUGGUGGAACUAAAAAUGUGCACACUAUCGUAAUCCACAUUUUUUUGGUAUUUUUCCUCAGGUUUAAUUUAGUGGCGCCAAAGAAAAGACUUGUUUGCUCAGUGCAUUCAUCAACGCACAACCACUCGAUGUUCUGAGCUCUAGAUUUUGCCUCGAUACAUAAAUUACUUGCAAAAAUCGAUGUCGAUUUCGCAGCCCCAAUUCGCUAUUCCGUAUACGGAACUAUAGUAUGCGCAGUUAGGCAUAGUAAGUAGUUGCUGUUAACCUGAAAACUCUUCAAACCGUGGAACAUCCAUCGGAACAGCCAGCAACCAGUUCAUUAGGAUAUCUUACGUCAUACAUGGGUUAUAAUCAACUCGGCAUUAAGGUCCUUUUCGUGAGAGCGCAAUACCCGGAGUAGAAAUAAAACUCUUAUGAUUGCAUGCCAAUGAAAGUAUAAACGAAAGAAGUCAGCUCAGCACAAGAGAUUGGAAAAAAAAACGAAUAUCAAAGCAAUUUCGCUUGCGACAGCAUCAAUUUUUUGUUUGUAAGCAGUUUUUGCCACUUAGAACCAAUAAGCAUAAAUUGUUGGCGAAUAUUGCACAGCACUUGGACACUCCAUGGUUCAUUGCAGCUCAGACACAAAAUGGAAACAGUGGAAAGGAUAAAGGGAAAUACAGAAUGGAAGGAAACAUAUAAAGGCACGCAGUCCAUUUUCUUUCAAAUAAAACAAAAGAACCAGCGGGAGAAAUACAAAAGCAACGGUAUAACAGGCAUGAAAGGGGAGGAGGGAGAAACAUCACCAUUAUUUCCACUUCACUAAGAUUUCCCGAAGGCGUCGUCAUCACAAAACUGUUACGCUUGUGGAUUUCAAUCUGCUGCAUUAUUUGGGCUAAAUACUUAGUUGGCGAAGUGUGUGAGUGUAUUAGAGGAGGUACAAAUUAUUAUGAA